Non-coding RNA from Oncorhynchus mykiss (rainbow trout), 2091 nucleotides. The record is from RefSeq and is a predicted model, not a curated record. NCBI's taxonomy places the organism in Eukaryota, Metazoa, Chordata, Actinopteri, Salmoniformes, Salmonidae.
CUCCCCCUGCAACCCCCUAAUCCUUAUCUGAACUCUGUGAGAACAAAGUAACUGUACUGUAUGUAGCCUACCCAUUUCUUGUCUUAGUAAGAAACACUGAAGAAAACAAUAGCUUCCACGAUGGAUCCGAUCCCAGCACUGGCCUUCCAGCCAGGCGGUAUGCUGUCGUAAUCGUGUCCACGAUCCAGUGAGAGAGCCUCUGCUUUGAUAACCCAGUCCCCAGGACUCUCACCAUAGCAGAAAAAGAGCUGGUCUGUUGUUCUCACUGCCCGUGUCCGCUCCACAUAGACAGCCAGAGCCCACGCAGGGCACAGCAUGCCGGAGGGAGCGCCAGGCUCUUCCGCCGCUCCCGGGGGGUCGUAAGCAGACAGGAUAAAAGGGAUGUUGACAUAACUGUCUGACAGACAGAGGAAUGAAGAGUUGGGGCGAAGAGAUAUACUCCUCCUACCGGGGUCCAUCCGGUAGCACUCAGAACAUACUGAAAGAGCAUGGAGCUCACCCACCCUCUUCAUGGAAGUUAUUGCUACCACGAAAGCCACCUUCGUAGAGAUGUGUUUCAGGGAGGCAGACUCCAACGGUUCGAAAAGCGGCUUUGCCAAAGCUGCCAAGACCACAUCCAGAUCCCAGCUCGCCAUUGAGCGCGUCCUAGCUGGACGCAGGCGACGAACCCCCUUCAUAAACCUGGAGACCAAGGGAUGGCGCCCCACUGGCCUGUCUAUCCACCACACAUGGCAGGCAGAUAUAGCGGCCAAAUACCCUCUCAGUGUAGAGGCUGCUAAGCCCUCAUCCAAGCGAGGCUGCAAGUAUUGGAGGACAUACUGCACCCCGCGUGAUCUCAGUACCCAGUAGCGGUCAACUCUACCCGUAGCUCUCUCAGUGGGAGGGGCUUAUCAUAAGGGGAAGCCUCAACAACAACAUGAUGCUGACAAGUCGUCUCUCCAGAAGAGUCUCUCCAGAUCAGAACGUCUCAAUGAACACCAGCAAAGACUUAUAGGAAGAAACCUCACCACCGAUGCUCUGACUGUGGGAAGAGUUUUGCUAAACAGAGAAAAUUGGUCAUUUACCAGCGGAUUCAUGCUAGAGGGAAGCCUUAUAGUUGUGAUAAGUGUGGGAAGUUUUGCUUGAGAUUUCACCGUGACCAAACACCGACUUAUACACACAGGAGAGAGGCCUUAUAGCUGUAAUCAGUGUGGGAAGAGCUUUAAUCAAUCAGCAGCCCUGAGCACACACCAACGCCUACACACUGGAGAGAGACAGGAGUAAGGUGUAUGUGGAAAGAGCUUUGCUCAAUCGGGGUAACUGAAAAAACACCAGAAAGCACCAACAUGUUUUCUUUCAUCCCUCCUCUUAGGCACCAGUUCAAGAUAUCUAAAUAAAGUUUGAACAGAAAACAUAUUGUAAAGAGUUAUUAUCUCCCAUUCUCUAAGUCUGAUUACCAUGGUAACCUGUGUUGAUAAUAUGCAGCUCUGGAACCAUGUAUCAAGCGUCUUGGAGUAGGAGUGGUGUGUGGUGGGGUGGGGAUGUUCAGAGCUGUAUCUUACUUCAAUAACUCCUAUUAUCUAUUAAUGAAUUGUAUAAUGUUUCAACAAUACAAGGUGUGUAUUCAUGUAUUCAAUAUAUCAAUAAAUAUAUUCCAUUAUCUGCUCAACAACAUCUGCUUAUGACAUUGAUUAUAUGUUUUUAAAAAUCUAAUAAUCAAUUUUUAAAAGGACCAUAGUCCUCUUGUAUAAUUAGUUUGCUCCUAAAAGAUGUUCACAUAUUUAUUUUAAAACCUUUCACCAGGUUUUAGUGUAGCUGAUGGGACACAUAGAAGUACAGAAGACAUAGGACUAUUAGUGUCGUCAAAUUAAGUUGUUGAAUUUAUUUUAAAGGAUUUAAUUUGUGAUAUCUUUGAACUUUCCUUAUUGUGUAUUAAGUGUGCUCCAGAGAGAUGUUCACACAUUUGAUUGUGAAUCGAAUGAUGUGUUGGUUGUUAGGAAGAGGCAUCAUGGGGGCAGGAAGUCAGCUCUGCCCAUCAGUACCUGUAGGUCAUGUCAAACACAGACCUCACACUCUUCUGUUUCCUCACAGCCAGUAAGUUCUCCUACCAAA